UACGUAGGGGGCAAGCGUUAUCCGGAUUUACUGGGUGUAAAGGGAGCGUAGGUGGCGUGCCAAGUCAGGAGUGAAAACCCAGGGCCCAACCCUGGGACUGCUCUUGAGACUGGCAGGCUUGAGUGCUGGAGAGGUAAGCGGAAUUCCUAGUGUAGCGGUGAAAUGCGUAGAUAUUAGGAGGAACACCAGUGGCGAAGGCGGCUUACUGGACAGUGACUGACACUGAGGCUCGAAAGCGUGGGGAGCAAACAGG
RNAcentral lists this ribosomal RNA (253 nucleotides) under uncultured bacterium. RNAcentral describes it as "partial 16S ribosomal RNA". It matches the Rfam family "Bacterial small subunit ribosomal RNA", at positions 524 to 776 of the family's 1533-position model. The record is from RNAcentral.